This 888-nucleotide ribosomal RNA is filed under the name uncultured archaeon. Its description in RNAcentral is "bacterial SSU rRNA". It matches the Rfam family "Archaeal small subunit ribosomal RNA", at positions 459 to 1344 of the family's 1478-position model. The record is from RNAcentral.
CAGCAGCCGCGGUAAUACGUACCCCACAAGUUGUGUCCACUUAUAUUGGGCUUAAAGCGUCCGUAGCUGGUUUGAUAGGUCUUUGGUGAAAUCGGCAGGCUCAACCUGUCGGCGUGCCGAAGAUACCGUCAGACUCGGAACUGGGAGAAGUCAGAGGUAUUCCCGGGGGAGGGGUCAAAUCCAGUAAUCCCGGGAGGACCACCUAUAGCGAAGGCUUCUGACUAGAACAGGUUCGACAGUGAGGGACGAAAGCUGGGGGAGCAAAUAGGAUUAGAUACCCUAGUAGUCCCAGCCGUAAACGUUGUGGAUUAGGUGGUACAUGACCUCCGAGGUCAUGUAGCGCCAUGAAGUGAAAACGUUAAAUCCACCGCCUGGGGAGUACAGCCGCAAGGCCGAAACUUAACGGAAUAGGCGGGGGAGCACUACAAGGGGUGUGCGCUGCGGUUUAAUCGGAUUCAACACCGUAAAUAUUACCCGGGGCGACAGCACUAUGAAGGCCAGUCUGAAGGGCUUGCCGGAGGCGCUGAGAGGUGUUGCAUGGUCAUCGUCAGCUCGUACUGUGAAGCGUCCUGUUAACUCAGGUAACGGGCGAGACCCGCGUCAUCAGUUGCUACUUACUCCUGCGGGAGUGGGGCACUCUGAUGAGACUGCCACAGAUAAAUGUGGAGGAAGGUGCGGGCGACGGUCGGUCUGUAUGGCCCGAAUCUCCGGGGCUACACGCGGUCCACAAUGGUAUGGACAAUCGGAUGCAACUCCGAGAGGAGAAGCUAAUCCCAUAAACCAUAUCGAAGUCCGGAUCGAGGGUUGUAACCCACCCUCGUGAAGCUGAAAUCCCUAGUAAUCGUGUUUCACUAAAGCACGGUGAAUAUGUCCCUGCCCCUUGCACNC